RNAcentral lists this ribosomal RNA (631 nucleotides) under uncultured Lachnospiraceae bacterium. Its description in RNAcentral is "bacterial SSU rRNA". It matches the Rfam family "Bacterial small subunit ribosomal RNA", at positions 77 to 724 of the family's 1533-position model. The record is from RNAcentral. Lineage: Bacteria; Bacillati; Bacillota; Clostridia; Lachnospirales; Lachnospiraceae.
UGAAUUUGAUUUAGUUUAGUGGCGGACGGGUGAGUAACGCGUGAGUAACCUGCCUUCAAGAGGGGGAUAACAUUCUGAAAAGAAUGCUAAUACCGCAUGACAUAUCGGAAUCACAUGAUUUUGAUAUCAAAGAUUUUAUCGCUUGAAGAUGGACUCGCGUCCGAUUAGUUAGUUGGUGAGGUAACGGCUCACCAAGACCGCGAUCGGUAGCCGGACUGAGAGGUUGAACGGCCACAUUGGGACUGAGACACGGCCCAGACUCCUACGGGAGGCAGCAGUGGGGGAUAUUGCGCAAUGGGGGCAACCCUGACGCAGCAACGCCGCGUGAAGGAUGAAGGUUUUCGGAUUGUAAACUUCUUUUAUUAAGGACGAAACUUGACGGUACUUAAUGAAUAAGCUCCGGCUAACUACGUGCCAGCAGCCGCGGUAAUACGUAGGGAGCAAGCGUUGUCCGGAUUUACUGGGUGUAAAGGGUGCGUAGGCGGCUUUGCAAGUCAGAUGUGAAAUCUAUGGGCUCAACCCAUAAACUGCAUUUGAAACUGUAGAGCUUGAGUGAAGUAGAGGCAGGCGGAAUUCCCCGUGUAGCGGUGAAAUGCGUAGAGAUGGGGAGGAACACCAGUGGCGAAGGCGG